This 20-nucleotide small nuclear RNA is filed under the name Arabidopsis thaliana (thale cress). RNAcentral's name for it is "snRNA_07612". Lineage: Eukaryota; Viridiplantae; Streptophyta; Magnoliopsida; Brassicales; Brassicaceae. The record is from RNAcentral.
UUUCUCUCUUUCCAUUGCGU